GGGGAUGCGUGGUUUCGACAGGGCAGGCAGACGGACCGCCGCGAGCCGAGGAACGCCGUUCCUCCUCGUUAAUCCGAACGGCAGGCAGACAACUGCCAACACUUCUUACGCUCUCGCUGCCUAGUCAGUGAGACGUCCUCCCGGUCUCCGCUCCGCGGGCCGGGAAGGGCGAUAUAAGCGGAGCUGCGGCCCGCCGAUCGGUCGGUAGGCGGGCUCAAGUAAACCGACCUGGCGAGUACGAGGAGCGUGUCGGUGCGCGCCUCGUUCCGCGAGAU
RNAcentral lists this transfer-messenger RNA (275 nucleotides) under Chloroflexota bacterium. Its description in RNAcentral is "Chloroflexi bacterium partial transfer-messenger RNA". It matches the Rfam family "transfer-messenger RNA", at positions 1 to 295 of the family's 374-position model. From Rfam's summary of the family: Bacterial tmRNA, also known as 10Sa RNA or SsrA, is named for its dual tRNA and mRNA-like properties. Its role is to liberate the mRNA from a stalled ribosome. The record is from RNAcentral. Lineage: Bacteria; Bacillati; Chloroflexota.